This 243-nucleotide long non-coding RNA is filed under the name Camarhynchus parvulus. RNAcentral describes it as "lncRNA (ENSCPVG00000017052.1)". Lineage: Eukaryota; Metazoa; Chordata; Aves; Passeriformes; Thraupidae. The record is from RNAcentral.
GUAGGAGCAGGAUGCCAGAAGAGUUGUCAGACUCUAGAUAUGUGAAUAUGUUCUGGUCCAGAACUACUGUGGUCAACAAGCUAUGGACCAGGGAACCUUCAGAGUCAUCACUGAGAACAUUCCAUGUGGCACUACAGGAACUACCUGCUCUAAGUCUAUUAAAGUUUUCCUGGGUGUAAGUAUUUUCUUUAAGUUGUGCCAGAAGGAUGGAACAAGCUGUCCCAGGUAGACUGCAUAGGAGAA